GUACCGGAAGAAUAAGCACCGGCUAACUACGUGCCAGCAGCCGCGGUAAUACGUAGGGUGCAAGCGUUAAUCGGAAUUACUGGGCGUAAAGCGUGCGCAGGCGGUCCGCUAAGACAGAUGUGAAAUCCCCGGGCUUAACCUGGGAACUGCAUUUGUGACUGGCGGGCUAGAGUAUGGCAGAGGGGGGUAGAAUUCCACGUGUAGCAGUGAAAUGCGUAGAGAUGUGGAGGAAUACCGAUGGCGAAGGCAGCCCCCUGGGCCAAUACUGACGCUCAUGCACGAAAGCGUGGGGAGCAAACAGGAUUAGAUACCCUGGUAGUCCACGCCCUAAACGAUGUCAACUAGUUGUCGGGUCUUCAUUGACUUGGUAACGAAGCUAACGCGUGAAGUUGACCGCCUGGGGAGUACGGUCGCAAGAUUAAAACUCAAAGGAAUUGACGG
This 441-nucleotide ribosomal RNA is filed under the name uncultured Burkholderia sp. Its description in RNAcentral is "bacterial SSU rRNA". It matches the Rfam family "Bacterial small subunit ribosomal RNA", at positions 475 to 916 of the family's 1533-position model. Lineage: Bacteria; Pseudomonadati; Pseudomonadota; Betaproteobacteria; Burkholderiales; Burkholderiaceae. The record is from RNAcentral.